AUGAUAAUACAUUUUCUCAAUGAUAGAAUACAAACACUCAAUAAACUAAUGCUUCAGGAAGUGGUGUCCAGGAUCUACAAAGGUGGGGAGAAAGAAGAGCAAAACCAUUUCAUGUUAGACUUCAAGUUCCAGGGAGCCUCAAAUUGUGAUUACAGUGUAAUGGCAAGUUUCUGCAAGGGUGUAAGGUCAGAUACAUUAUGCUAAUAGUGGUUCGGUAAAGGAGAAUAUUGUGGAUUGAAAAGGGAGAAAGAAAGUAAGUGGAUGAAAAAAUAAAAGUGAUUUUAUUUUUGCAUAGCAACCUUUAGAAAAACUAAAGCUAAGUUC
This 324-nucleotide long non-coding RNA is filed under the name Rhinopithecus bieti (black snub-nosed monkey). Its description in RNAcentral is "lncRNA (ENSRBIG00000046202.1)". The record is from RNAcentral. Lineage: Eukaryota; Metazoa; Chordata; Mammalia; Primates; Cercopithecidae.